RNAcentral lists this long non-coding RNA (646 nucleotides) under Homo sapiens (human). RNAcentral describes it as "HSALNT0248529". Lineage: Eukaryota; Metazoa; Chordata; Mammalia; Primates; Hominidae. The record is from RNAcentral.
GCUUUUGGCUUAAUUAUGAAGUACUAGUUACUAUAACCAUUAUUUUGAGUUUCAUGUAAAUCAAGAACACAUGGACUCCACUUGCAAAACAUUGAAAAUGUAGUUAGGGAUUGGGGGCAUAAAGCAACAUUUUAAAAUGUGUAAAGACAAUGAGUAAGCAACAAAGUGUCCAAUUUUUUAGGGGAAAGUUGCAUACGUUAGGAAAAGGCAGGAUUAAGUAACAGAGAAUUUGAAUGAUAACUGGCCAAUUGGUGUCAUUUACAAUUGCAAGUCAUACAAAUGAAGUUUCCUUUUUUAAAGAGGAAAGGAGUUAUUUAGAAUGGGUCAACCUAUUGGGGAAGCAAUGUAGUUAGAGACAAUGCCCAAAACCAUGUGAGCCAAUGCUCUGUAGAGCAUACCCCUGCAAUGCUGCCAUUGUGAGGCCAAGUCUCUCCUUGUCUUGGUACUGAGCCCUCCAUUCUGCCUCCAUCAUUGCCACUGUAGCUGCCACAAAAUGAUCCCUCAACCACCGCUGCCCAGGAACAAAGAAAGAUUUCUGUCUUUCCGCGCUCUCAGAUCAAUUUCCAACAUCAGGUGAGCCUUUGAUGGGCACUAUUCAGUUCCCAUAUCCAUCUUUGUUUGUCUUCCGCUGCACUUUUCCUUCCAC